CCCUUAGAUGUUCUGGGCUGCACGCGUGCUACAAUGGCGCUUGCAACAAGUCUUGCCAACCCGAUAGGGUGAGCGGAUCUUUGAAGAGGCGUCGUGAUCGGGACAGUUGAUUGCAAUUAUUCGACUCGAACGAGGAAUUCCUUGUAAUCGCGAUUCAUCAUAUCGCGCUGAAUACGUCCCUGCCCUUUGUACACACCGCCCGUCGCACCUACCGAUUAAAUGACUCGGUGAAAAAUUGGGACCGUGAGUCUGUUUGCUUCAUUGCGAGUGGAUUGAUGGGAACUUUUUUAAACCUCGCCAUUUAGAGGAAGGUGAAGUCGUAACA
RNAcentral lists this ribosomal RNA (325 nucleotides) under uncultured eukaryote. RNAcentral describes it as "partial 18S ribosomal RNA". It matches the Rfam family "Eukaryotic small subunit ribosomal RNA", at positions 1470 to 1796 of the family's 1831-position model. The record is from RNAcentral.